RNAcentral lists this unclassified non-coding RNA (376 nucleotides) under uncultured Actinomycetes bacterium. RNAcentral describes it as "uncultured actinobacterium contains 16S-23S intergenic spacer region". The record is from RNAcentral. Lineage: Bacteria; Bacillati; Actinomycetota; Actinomycetes.
UCGCGGCUUAUCACCGGCAGUCCCCUUAGAGUGCCCAACUAAAUGCUGGCAACUAAGGGCGAGGGUUGCGCUCGUUGCGGGACUUAACCCAACAUCUCACGACACGAGCUGACGACAGCCAUGCACCACCUGUACACCGACCACAAGGGGGACCCUGUCUCCAGGGUUUUCCGGCGUAUGUCAAGCCUUGGUUAGGUUCUUCGCGUUGCAUCGAAUUAAAGAACAUGCUCCGCUGCUUGUGCGGGCCCCCGUCAAUUCUUUUGAGUUUUAGCCUUGCGGCCGUACUCCCCAGGCGGAACACUUAACGCGUUGGCUUCGGCACAGGAGGAUUCGACUCCCCCCACACCUAGUGUUCAUCGUUUACGGCAUGGACUAC